AUCGUUGCUGCCAGUAGCGGAGCAACUCCUAACAGUUCAAGCAGCAGCAUCGUCGAGUCCUCCAUCCAGAUGGGUGAUUUAACAUUUGCGAGUUUAUUUCACUCGAAUCUAAUCACCACUCACUUUUAGCCUCAACAACUUCUUUUUUUUCCUCUUUUUUUUUUGAUCUCGAAGGCUUAUUUUGCUAUCUUCAACCAGCCAAGGUCUAGAAGUAGCCUCGGUGC
RNAcentral lists this long non-coding RNA (224 nucleotides) under Elaeis guineensis (African oil palm). Its description in RNAcentral is "long non-coding RNA (EGUI_LNC070083)". The record is from RNAcentral. Lineage: Eukaryota; Viridiplantae; Streptophyta; Magnoliopsida; Arecales; Arecaceae.